Molecule: unclassified non-coding RNA, 1748 nt
Filed under: Hevea brasiliensis (rubber tree)
Lineage: Eukaryota; Viridiplantae; Streptophyta; Magnoliopsida; Malpighiales; Euphorbiaceae
Source: RNAcentral
GACAGAUUGCAAAGCAAGUAUGCACGUGAAAAGAAGGCCCGAUGGGAAAUGGAUAAUUCAUAGAUUCGAGAAAGAACAUAAUCAUGAACUUCUACCUGCCCAAGCUGUCAGUGAACAAACAAGAAGGAUGUAUGCUGCAAUGGCAAGACAAUUUGCUGAAUACAAAAAUGUUGUUGGUCUGAAAAGUGACACAAAAGUUCUAUUUGACAAAGGUCGAAAUUCAGCAAUGGAAGGGGGAGACAUAAGUGUUCUAUUAGAGUUCUUUAUUCAGAUGCAAAAUCUUAAUUCCAACUUCUUUUAUGCUGUUGAUGUGGGUGAAGAUCAACGUGUAAAGAACUUGUUCUGGGUUGAUGCCAAAGCCAGGCAUGAUUAUGUGAAUUUCAGCGAUGUUGUCUCUUUUGAUACUACCUAUGUCAGAAACAAAUAUAAGAUGCCCCUGGCUCUUUUUGUUGGGGUCAAUCAGCAUUUUCAGUUCAUACUACUUGGAUGUGCUUUGGUCUCUGAUGAGAGUGCGUCAACAUUUUCUUGGGUAAUGCGGACAUGGUUGAAGGCAAUGGGCGGUCAAGCUCCGAAGACAGUGAUCACCGAUCAUGACCUGGUAUUGAAGUCAGUCAUUUCAGAGGCUUUGCCACUAUCCCUCCAUUAUUUCUGUUUGUGGCAUGUCCUGGGAAAGGUGUCUGAUACACUGAAUCAUGUCAUCAAACAGAAUGAAAAGUUUAUGCCUAAGUUCGAGAAAUGUCUUAACAGGUCAUGGACAGAUGAGGAGUUUGAAAAGAGGUGGAGAAAACUAGUUGAUAAAUUUGAUCUCAGAGAAGUUGAAUUGGUUCAUUCACUGUAUGAAGAUCGGGUGAAAUGGGCCCCUACAUUUAUAAGGGAUGUGGUUUUAGCGGGAAUGUCAACGGUUCAACGAUCAGAGAGUGUAAACUCUUUCUUUGACAAAUAUGUACAUAAGAAAACUACUGUCCAGGAGUUCGUAAAGCAAUAUGAAUCAAUAUUACAAGAUAGGUACGAGGAGGAGGCAAAGGCAGAUUCUGAUACAUGGAACAAACAACCUGCUUUGAGAUCCCCAUCACCAUUUGAGAAGCACUUGGCGGGGCUUUAUACACAUGCUGUAUUUAAGAAAUUCCAGUCUGAGGUUGUGGGUGCAACUGCUUGUGGUCCUAAAAGAGAGAAGCAAGAUGAGAUAGUCUUAACAUAUAGAGUUCAAGAUUUUGAGAAGACUCAAGAGUUCAUUGUUACAUUAGAUGAAAUGAAGUCAGAAAUAUCUUGUAUUUGUCAUUUGUUUGAAUAUAAAGGCUACCUUUGUAGACAUGCAUUGAUAGUUCUCCAAAUAUGUGCUGUUUCCUCUAUCCCACCACAAUAUAUUUUGAAGCGAUGGACAAAAGAUGCGAAGAGCAAGUACUCUAUGACGGAUGGAUCUGAAGACGUGCAGUCAAGGUUCCAGAGAUAUAAUGAGCUAUGUCAUCGGGCUAUGAAAUUGAGUGAAGAAGGGUCGUUAUCUCAAGAGAGCUAUAGUUUUGCUCUUCGUGCACUUGAUGACGCGUUUGGGAGUUGUGUAACUUUUAAUAACUCAAACAAGAACAUGUUAGAAGCUGGCACAUCAUCAGCCUCUGGUCUUCUCUGUAUUGAAGAUGAUAACCAAAGUAGGAGUAUGAGCAAGACAAACAAGAAGAAAAAUAACUUCACUAAGAAACGGAAGGUGAACUCGGAGCCAGAUGUUAUGGCUGUUGGGGCAGCAGACAGCUUGC